Molecule: ribosomal RNA, 468 nt
Filed under: uncultured bacterium
Lineage: Bacteria
Description: partial 16S ribosomal RNA
Rfam family: Bacterial small subunit ribosomal RNA
Source: RNAcentral
GACGAACGCUGGCGGCGUGCUUAACACAUGCAAGUCGAACGGAAAGGCCCUGCUUUUGUGCGCUCCUCGAGUGGCGAACGGGUGAGUAGCACGUGAGUAACCUGCCAUUGACUUUGGGAUAACUUCAGGAAACUGGGGCUCAUACCGCAUAGGAGCUCCUGCUGCAUGGUGGGGGCUGGAAAGUUUCGGCGGUUGGGGAUGUACUCGCGGCUCAUUAGCUUGAUGGUGGGGUAGUGUAUUACCAAGGCUUUGACGCGUAGCAUGCCUGAGCGGAGGAGCGGACACACUACAAUGGAACUGCGGCACAGACUACAAUGCGACGGGGGGGUGGGGAAUAGAGUAUAAUGGACUGAGGCAAGAUGCAGCACCGCCGUGUGGGGUAUGUCGUCCUUCGGUUAGUAAAGCGAUGUUGCCUGUGACGAAGCGAUAGUGACGGUAAUGGGUAAAGAAGCACCGGCUAACUACGUG